CAGUCGCCGCGGGAAAACGAAGGGUGCAAGCGUUAAUCGGAAUUACUGGGCGUAAAGCGCGCGUAGGUGGUGGUUUAAGUCCGUUGUGAAAGCCCUGGGCUCAACCUGGGAAUUGCAGUGGAUACUGGGUCACUAGAGUGUGGUAGAGGAUAGUGGAAUUUCCGGUGUAGCAGUGAAAUGCGUAGAGAUCGGAAGGAACAUCUGUGGCGAAGGCGACUAUCUGGGCCAACACUGACACUGAGGCACGAAAGCGUGGGGAGCAAACAGGAUUAGAUACCCCUGUAGUCCCUGUCUCUUAUAC
RNAcentral lists this ribosomal RNA (301 nucleotides) under uncultured bacterium. Its description in RNAcentral is "partial 16S ribosomal RNA". It matches the Rfam family "Bacterial small subunit ribosomal RNA", at positions 509 to 807 of the family's 1533-position model. The record is from RNAcentral.